UACGGAGGGUGCAAGCGUUGUUCGGAAUUACUGGGCGUAAAGCGCGCGCAGGCGGUCUUCCAAGUCAGUGGUGAAAGCCCGGAGCUCAACUCCGGAACUGCCAUUGAAACUGUUAGACUUGAGGACGAGAGAGGUGAGUGGAAUUCCCAGUGUAGAGGUGAAAUUCGUAGAUAUUGGGAAGAACACCGGUGGCGAAGGCGGCUCACUGGACUGGUAUUGACGCUGAGGUGCGAAAGCAUGGGGAGCAAACAGG
RNAcentral lists this ribosomal RNA (253 nucleotides) under uncultured bacterium. RNAcentral describes it as "partial 16S ribosomal RNA". It matches the Rfam family "Bacterial small subunit ribosomal RNA", at positions 524 to 776 of the family's 1533-position model. The record is from RNAcentral.